AGUGAACGCUGGCGGUAGGCCUAACACAUGCAAGUCGAACGGCAGCACAGUAAGAGCUUGCUCUUACGGGUGGCGAGUGGCGGACGGGUGAGGAAUACAUCGGAAUCUACUUUUUCGUGGGGGAUAACGUAGGGAAACUUACGCUAAUACCGCAUACGACCUACGGGUGAAAGCAGGGGAUCUUCGGACCUUGCGCGAUUGAAUGAGCCGAUGUCGGAUUAGCUAGUUGGCGGGGUAAAGGCCCACCAAGGCGACGAUCCGUAGCUGGUCUGAGAGGAUGAUCAGCCAAACUGGAACUGAGACACGGUCCAGACUCCUACGGGAGGCAGCAGUGGGGAAUUUUGGGCAAUGGGCGCAAGCCUGACCCAGCCAUGCCGCGUGGGUGAAGAAGGCCUUCGGGUUGUAAAGCCCUUUUGUUGGGAAAGAAAAACAGCGGGUUAAACCCCCGCUGUUCUGACGGUACCAAAAAAAAAAGCCCCGGCUAACUUCGU
This 491-nucleotide ribosomal RNA is filed under the name uncultured bacterium. RNAcentral describes it as "partial 16S ribosomal RNA". It matches the Rfam family "Bacterial small subunit ribosomal RNA", at positions 29 to 506 of the family's 1533-position model. The record is from RNAcentral.